GGUUCUGUAGGUUCUGUGUGGUUCUGUAGGUUCUGUAGGUUCUGUAGGUUCUGUGUGGUUCUGUAGGUUCUGUAGGUUCUGUAGGUUCUGUGUGGUUCUGUAGGUUCUGUGUGGUUCUGUGUGGUUCUGUAGGUUCUGUGUGGUUCUGUAGGUUCUGUGUGGUUCUGUGUGGUUUUGUAGGUUCUGUAGGUUCUGUGUGGUUCUGUAGGUUCUGUAGGUUCUGUAGGUUCUGUGUGGUUCUGUAGGUUCUGUGUGGUUCUGUAGGUUCUGUGUGGUUCUGUAGGUUCUGUGUGGUUCUGUGUGGUUCUGUAGGUUCUGUGUGGUUCUGUAGGUUCUGUGUGGUUCUGUAGGUUCUGUGUGGUUCUGUGUGGUUUUGUAGGUUCUGUAGGUUCUGUGUGGUUCUGUGUGGUUCUGUA
Poeciliopsis prolifica (blackstripe livebearer) is the source of this 416-nucleotide long non-coding RNA. RefSeq lists it as uncharacterized. The transcript is spliced from 3 exons. Lineage: Eukaryota; Metazoa; Chordata; Actinopteri; Cyprinodontiformes; Poeciliidae. The record is from RefSeq and is a predicted model, not a curated record.